UUUUGGUUGCCAGACUAUGAGUCUUUGAGUGCAAAUUCAUGCAAAGACUGGUCCAUGUGGAGCCUUGCAUUUUAUUCAGGUUACAAAUAUAUAGCUCUUCUCCAUCAGUUAGUACUAUGACAAAGAGAUCCCUGGGGAAUGAGCUGGUCAGAGAAGCUCUGCCUCCAGCAGGAACUGGAAAACUAUUGGAAGCAGAGAUGUAAGUGACAGCUGGCUGGGCAGCGAGGAAGAGGAAGCCUUGUGAGUCCAGAUGAGAAAGGGGAAAGGCAUGGAGAAGACGAAUAUUUAUGUGCACUGUCCUAGGCUCAUAUACAUACCUUCGUGUCACUUAAUCCACACAAUAUCCCUGCUAACUAAUUAUUAUGAGCUCCAUUUUACAGAUAAGAAGACUGAGUCACAGAGAGAUCCCCCAAGGUCAUACUGCUAGUAAAUAGCAGAACCAGGAAUUGCAUGAUGCCAAAGACCCCAGUGCUAUCCUGACUCAAGGAAGAACAUGUCAUGGGAAGAUGGUAGGGAGAGGUGAGAUAGGGAUGAGCCCAAGGGAAGGCCUUGGAUGCCAGAAGCAAGAGCCCAGACUUCACCAACAUAGAUUCUAAGAAAACUGCUAGCAGAGAAGGGAGCUGGUGGGCAUGGAAUGUUAAGAAGGCCAGGGGUCAUAAUCUCACCCAGCCACCACAGCAGCUGUCACCAAGACACCCACCUCUCAGAGAGCCUUGCUUGCAGACCCCUUCAUCUGAUGGAUUCUCCUGAGAGCAUAGGCAUCCUGGGACCGCGGAGCAGCCACCAACGACUACAGAUGAAACACAAGCCUCGCCGGUCACUUUUUGCUGGCCGUUGGAAGGAAGCUGAUGAGUGGGAGUGGAACCUCCAGGUUUCCUGGGGCACCAUUCUGGAUCCCCUCAUCUCAGCUCUGUGAGGUCAUGGCUAAGCCUGAAACAGGUCCCAACUCAUUCAAUCUUGCCAUAAAUCUAUGAAAUGGG
Long non-coding RNA from Pan troglodytes (chimpanzee), 980 nucleotides. RefSeq lists it as uncharacterized. The transcript has 2 exons. NCBI's taxonomy places the organism in Eukaryota, Metazoa, Chordata, Mammalia, Primates, Hominidae. The record is from RefSeq and is a predicted model, not a curated record.